UUCCGGUUGAUCCUGCCGGAGGCCAUUGCUAUGGGAGUCCGAUUUAGCCAUGCUAGUCGCACGGGUUUAGGCCCGUGGCGAAUAGCUCCGUAACACGUGGUCAAACUACCCUGUGGAUCUGGAUAACCUCGGGAAACUGAGGCUAAUCCGGAAUAGAGCCCGAUGCCUGGAAUGGCUUGGGUUCGAAACGUUCCGACGCCACAGGAUGCGGCUGCGGCCGAUUAGGUAGACGGUGGGGUAACGGCCCACCGUGCCAGUAAUCGGUACGGGUGAUGAGAGUCAGAGCCCGGAGACGGAAUCUGAGACAAGAUUCCGGGCCCUACGGGGCGCAGCAGGCGCGAAACCUUUACACUGCACGGAAGUGCGAUAGGGGAAUCCCAAGUGCGAGGGCAUAUUAGCCCUCGCUUUUCUCGACUGUAAGGUGGUCGACGAAUAAGAGCUGGGCAAGACCGGUGCCAGCCGCCGCGGU
RNAcentral lists this ribosomal RNA (469 nucleotides) under uncultured archaeon. Its description in RNAcentral is "bacterial SSU rRNA". It matches the Rfam family "Archaeal small subunit ribosomal RNA", at positions 1 to 471 of the family's 1478-position model. The record is from RNAcentral.